This 497-nucleotide ribosomal RNA is filed under the name uncultured bacterium. Its description in RNAcentral is "partial 16S ribosomal RNA". It matches the Rfam family "Bacterial small subunit ribosomal RNA", at positions 28 to 507 of the family's 1533-position model. The record is from RNAcentral.
GAUGAACGCUGGCGGCGUGCCUAAUACAUGCAAGUCGAGCGAACAGACGAGGAGCUUGCUCCUCUGACGUUAGCGGCGGGCGGGUGAGUAACACGUGGAUAACCUACCUAUAAGACUGGGAUAACUUCGGGAAACCGGAGCUAAUACCGGAUAAUAUAUUGAACCGCAUGGUUCAAUAGUGAAAGACGGUUUUGCUGUCACUCAUAGAUGGAUCCGCGCCGCAUUAGCUAGUUGGUAAGGUAACGGCUUACCAAGGCAACGAUGCGUAGCCGACCUGAGAGGGUGAUCGGCCACACUGGAACUGAGACACGGUCCAGACUCCUACGGGAGGCAGCAGUAGGGAAUCUUCCGCAAUGGGCGAAAGCCUGACGGGGCAACGCCGCGUGAGUGAUGAAGGUCUUCGGAUCGUAAAACUCUGUUAUUAGGGAAGAACAAAUGUGUAAGUAACUAUGCACGUCUUGACGGUACCUAAUCAGAAAGCCACGGCUAACUACGUG